CCUACGGGGGGCUGCAGUAGGGAAUCUUGCGCAAUGGGCGAAAGCCUGACGCAGCCAUGCCGCGUGUAUGAUGAAGGUCUUAGGAUUGUAAAAUACUUUCACCGGGGAAGAUAAUGACGGUACCCGGAGAAGAAGCCCCGGCUAACUUCGUGCCAGCAGCCGCGUUAAUACGAAGGGGGCUAGCGUUGCUCGGAAUUACUGGGCGUAAAGGGCGCGUAGGCGGAUAUUUAAGUUGGGGGUGAAAGCCCGGGGCUCAACCUCGGAAUUGCCUUCAAUACUGGAUAUCUUGAGUUCGGGAGAGGUGAGUGGAAUGCCGAGUGUAGAGGUGAAAUUCGUAGAUAUUCGGCGGAACACCAGUGGCGAAGGCGACUCACUGGCCCAAUACUGACGCUGAGGCGCGAAAGCGUGGGGAGCAAACAGGAUUAGAUACCCUUGUAGUC
This 440-nucleotide ribosomal RNA is filed under the name uncultured Phenylobacterium sp. RNAcentral describes it as "bacterial SSU rRNA". It matches the Rfam family "Bacterial small subunit ribosomal RNA", at positions 338 to 795 of the family's 1533-position model. The record is from RNAcentral. Lineage: Bacteria; Pseudomonadati; Pseudomonadota; Alphaproteobacteria; Caulobacterales; Caulobacteraceae.